Molecule: long non-coding RNA, 425 nt
Organism: Equus caballus (horse)
Lineage: Eukaryota; Metazoa; Chordata; Mammalia; Perissodactyla; Equidae
Source: Ensembl
UGGACAUCACUAGGCAGAGAAAUGCCAACAUGGUGGCAAAAUAAGCGAACUAAGGUACAGAGAAGUUAAAUACUUACUGGUUGUGAGCAACACGUAAAGACUGAGAAACUGCAACUUAACAGAGGAAUCUACGGAGACAGAUGACUAAAUGCAAGAUGGUAUCCUGAAUUGGAUUAUGGGACAGUAAAAGCAUUAGUGGAAAUCUGGUGGAAUCUUGGUAAAAUCAUCGUGACUUUCUCUUGUCAAUAGUGUCCGCAUGAUUCUAACACAUCCUAGAAACUUAACUUCGUUUCAUCUGGAGCAUAACAUGUGUUCCUCCCAUACGUUACAAAACUCAUUAAGGAAAGCUCUUGAACAUUGGAAAGCUCUAACCUCUUGAUUGUUUUCUCAAGCUCAUGACCAAAUCCACAUAUAUUUAAUAGCAG